AGCAGCCGCCGCGGGAAUACGUAGGUCCCGAGCGUUGUCCGGAUUUAUUGGGCGUAAAGGGAGCGCAGGCGGUUUAGUAAGUCUGAAGUUAAAGGCAUUGGCUCAACCAAUGUAUGCUUUGGAAACUGUUAGACUUGAGUGCUGAGGGGGAGAGUGGAAUUCCAUGUGUAGCGGUGAAAUGCGUAGAGAUGUGGAGGAACACCAGUGGCGAAGGCGACUCUCUGGUCUGUAACUGACGCUGAGGAGCGAAAGCGUGGGGAGCGAACGGGAUUAGAUACCCCUGUAGUCCCUGUCUCUUAUACA
This 303-nucleotide ribosomal RNA is filed under the name uncultured bacterium. RNAcentral's name for it is "partial 16S ribosomal RNA". It matches the Rfam family "Bacterial small subunit ribosomal RNA", at positions 507 to 808 of the family's 1533-position model. The record is from RNAcentral.